Molecule: unclassified non-coding RNA, 208 nt
Filed under: Hevea brasiliensis (rubber tree)
Lineage: Eukaryota; Viridiplantae; Streptophyta; Magnoliopsida; Malpighiales; Euphorbiaceae
Source: RNAcentral
GAUCAACCUUCUCUUGAGCUGCAGGUAAGAUAUUAUGCCUUUUAAAGUUUUUUUACAAUAACAUGAAGGCAUAGGCAAAACAAAGAUAGUGCAGCAAUGGACUGAAUAGUAUAGAGCUUAGUGUUAGAAAUAUAAAAUUUAUUUAUUAAGUUUCAUCUAUAUUAAAUUUAAAAUUUUCAAUUAAAUGGUUCUUUAACUAAUAUGGUAU